UUAAACGCAAUGAAGAGAAGAGUACAUGGGAAUACAGUUUACAGAGAGUCUGAUUAGGUGAAAGCAGACAACAGGUUGAACUAUGGAAGAUGGACUUGGAGCGGCAUGGGCGAGCAUAAAGUAAACCUGUGACGGAUACACCCGUUAAAGUGAAAUGAGAUUUGGAUAUAGUUUUGUUAGUGGAUUAAGAAUAGUAUUUGAAUACAGUAAUUAAUGAUACUAAUAUCUGAAUAAAGUAAAGUGGUACCACGAAGUUAAAGCACUCUCGUCUUUGCA
Molecule: non-coding RNA, 276 nt
Filed under: Eubacterium sp.
Lineage: Bacteria; Bacillati; Bacillota; Clostridia; Eubacteriales; Eubacteriaceae
Description: T-box sequence
Rfam family: T-box leader
About the family: Uncharged tRNA acts as the effector for transcription antitermination of genes in the T-box leader family. T-boxes are found upstream of many aminoacyl-tRNA synthetase genes and some amino acid biosynthetic genes usually in Gram-positive bacteria.
Source: RNAcentral